UAUUACACACUGGAAGGGCUGGUGCCUGGGACCACCUACCAUAUCAGAGUCAUUGCAUGUACAGGUGGAGGGUGCACCACCAGUCCCCCUAGCACUGCUAGGACAGAGGAGAGUGCACCAGAGGGUGUGCCUGACCCAGUGGUAGUCUCUCCCAGUCCUACAGAGCUCAGGAUUACCUGGGGAGUGCCUCUCUAUCCUAAUGGCAUUGUGUUGCGAUAUGACCUUUACCACAAUGGCCUCAAGGUGUCGCCACCUCCAACAAAUCGCAGCUACUACGUCAGUAACCUCAGACCCUGGAGUCUGAACACAUUCCGUGUGGCAGCCUGCACAGCCAAGGGGUGCGGCUCUAGC
Molecule: long non-coding RNA, 351 nt
Organism: Lingula anatina
Lineage: Eukaryota; Metazoa; Brachiopoda; Lingulata; Lingulida; Lingulidae
Source: RefSeq, a predicted model, not a curated record